This 914-nucleotide long non-coding RNA is filed under the name Lynx pardinus (Iberian lynx). The record is from RNAcentral. Lineage: Eukaryota; Metazoa; Chordata; Mammalia; Carnivora; Felidae.
CAGCUGCUAAAAUGGGAAGGAUUGAGAUCAGCAAGUUUCUGACUGUGAGUAAGCUAAAAUAGGCUUUUGAAUAAUGUUUUCCGCCUGCUUAGCAAAUUUCUCUUGUGACAGUUGGAUGUUAUUUGGGGUGCCAUACUAGGAGGAAGAGGCACAAGCACAUUUCAGUCAGUUUUGAGAAUAAAUAUUCUGUGUAUAUAUUUGUAGUUGUUAUAUUUUUCCUUCUUGAGGGUUAUGAUUGAUCCUUGGCAUGUGGCCCCUUGUGUAUUGCUCUGCUGAAAACAGCCUAAAACGAAUCUUCCAAGAGUUUUGUGGCACUUCCCUUUAGUUACAAUUCUACUUUUUUUCCUUACCUGAGUAUCAGUCUUCAGAGACCUAGCAUAACAAAAGAACAGAUACAAGUACAUAUAAAAAUAUCUAUGAGAAGAUCAAUUAGACUUGUGAAAGCACGUUUCAAGUAAUUUUCUACUGAAAAAUUUAAUCAAAUUUAUUAAUCAUAUCUCUGCUUACCGGUGUUAAAUAAAAACUUUAAAGAUAGCAAUCAAUAAACAGAGAUAAAAGCUUCUCCAGAAUAAAUGAAAGGAAGUAAUAAAAAGACUCACUAAGCUGAAGUGCCUCCUAUCAACAGCAGCUGAUAAAAUAUUAAAAGAUUUGCCUUGUGUAAUGUCUCUGGAGGGCUGUCUUGCUGAUGUACCAGACCAUGAUUGACAACUUUGAGACUUGCUGGAAGCCACAAAAGUAUAUCUAUAAUAUUAUGCUCAAUUGCAUAGGUCUUUCUUCCUAAAUGGUGCUGGAAAUAACAUAUCACUGAGUGAUUGGCUUGUAAGAAAUUGAACUCUCUCCUCAGUUCUAGCUGAAGCCUAAUUUGCUUAGAAUUAGAUAUUAUGUGGUAUCUAGAAUGUGAAAAACAAAAAUAA